Molecule: ribosomal RNA, 952 nt
Filed under: Metarhizium pemphigi
Lineage: Eukaryota; Fungi; Ascomycota; Sordariomycetes; Hypocreales; Clavicipitaceae
Description: partial large subunit ribosomal RNA
Rfam family: Eukaryotic large subunit ribosomal RNA
Source: RNAcentral
UUUUUUUUUUUUUUCCCCCCGGGAUCUACCAUACAUAGCGGAGGAAAAGAAACCAACAGGGAUUGCCCCAGUAACGGCGAGUGAAGCGGCAACAGCUCAAAUUUGAAAUCUGGUCCCCAGGGCCCGAGUUGUAAUUUGCAGAGGAUGCUUUUGGUGAGGUGCCUUCCGAGUUCCCUGGAACGGGACGCCAUAGAGGGUGAGAGCCCCGUCUGGUUGGAUACCGAGCCUCUGUAAAGCUCCUUCGACGAGUCGAGUAGUUUGGGAAUGCUGCUCUAAAUGGGAGGUAUAUGUCUUCUAAAGCUAAAUAUUGGCCAGAGACCGAUAGCGCACAAGUAGAGUGAUCGAAAGAUGAAAAGCACUUUGAAAAGAGGGUUAAAUAGUACGUGAAAUUGUUGAAAGGGAAGCACUUAUGACCAGACUUGGCCCCGGUGAAUCAUCCAGCGGUUCCCGUUGGUGCACUUUGCCGGGGUUCAGGCCAGCAUCAGUUCGCUCCGGGGGAUAAAGGCUUUGGGAAUGUGGCUCCCUCGGGAGUGUUAUAGCCCAUUGCGCAAUACCCUGUGGCGGGCUGAGGUUCGCGCUUUAUGCAAGGAUGCUGGCAUAAUGGUCAUCAGUGACCCGUCUUGAAACACGGACCAAGGAGUCGUCUUCGUAUGCGAGUGUUCGGGUGUUAAACCCCUACGCGUAAUGAAAGUGAACGCAGGUGAGAGCCCUCCAGGGCGCAUCAUCGACCGAUCCUGAUGUUCUCGGAUGGAUUUGAGUAAGAGCAUACGGGGCCGGACCCGAAAGAAGGUGAACUAUGCCUGUAUAGGGUGAAGCCAGAGGAAACUCUGGUGGAGGCUCGCAGCGGUUCUGACGUGCAAAUCGAUCGUCAAAUAUGGGCAUGGGGGCGAAAGACUAAUCGAACCUUCUAGUAGUGUGUUUCCCCGUCUCUCUCCCCGCAAAAAAAAAAAAA